Molecule: ribosomal RNA, 326 nt
Filed under: Pseudomonilicaryon fraterculum
Lineage: Eukaryota; Ciliophora; Litostomatea; Haptorida; Dileptidae
Description: eukaryotic LSU rRNA
Rfam family: Eukaryotic large subunit ribosomal RNA
Source: RNAcentral
GCACCUGAAAUCAAGUAAGAUCACCCGCUGGACUUAAGCAUAUUACUAAGCGGAGGAAAAGAAAUUAACUAAGAUUGCCUUAGUAAGGGCGACUGAACCGGCAAAAGCUCGAAAUUAAAAUCGGAAAUUCAAUGAAUUUUCGAAUUGUAAUCAGGGUACCCAAAAUACGGGAGGUUACUCAAGAGUAUCGAAAGACUCGCCAAAGAGGGUGAAAGCCCCGUGCAGUAAUCUCUCGAACGUGGGGACUCGAACAAGAGUCGUGUUGCUUGGAACUGCAGCACUAAGUGGGAGAUAUGAUUCUUCCAAAGCUAAAUAUGGAUGGGAGA